AAUGCACACAAAACCCAAAGAUCAUUGUAUCUCACUGUGAUGAUCUUGUCUGUUGUGCAGAAAUUAACGGUACCUUGUCGCCUUUCUUGAGCUUGUAUGUUCUUGAAAGUGAAACAGAAGGAACUACAGUG
This is a small nucleolar RNA of Spea bombifrons (plains spadefoot toad), 131 nucleotides long. RefSeq annotates it as small nucleolar RNA SNORA68. The transcript has a single exon. The record is from RefSeq and is a predicted model, not a curated record. Lineage: Eukaryota; Metazoa; Chordata; Amphibia; Anura; Pelobatidae.